RNAcentral lists this ribosomal RNA (253 nucleotides) under uncultured bacterium. RNAcentral's name for it is "partial 16S ribosomal RNA". It matches the Rfam family "Bacterial small subunit ribosomal RNA", at positions 524 to 776 of the family's 1533-position model. The record is from RNAcentral.
UACGUAGGGUGCAAGCGUUGUCCGGAAUUAUUGGGCGUAAAGAGCUCGUAGGCGGUUUGUUGCGUCGGCUGUGAAAUCCCGAGGCUCAACCUCGGGUCUGCAGUCGAUACGAGCAAACUAGAGUGUUGCAGGGGAGACUGGAAUUCCUGGUGUAGCGGUGAAAUGCGCAGAUAUCAGGAGGAACACCCAUAGCGAAGGCAGCUUGCUGGGACGUUACUGACGCUAAGGCGCGAAAGCGUGGGGAGCAAACAGG